GCCCCCCAAAAUCCUAGUUCUGUAGAUGGACCUCAUCCGAUCUUUGUACCGGACACCUUUCUCAGCUCUCUGACUUCAGACGAACUCUCACUGAUUAAGAUUCAGUACGGAGUUCCUCCAAAGUACGAGCUUGAGCUUUUCGAGCCAACUGACCGGGCUAGCGCCCCUCCUCCUGGCCACUUCUGCUUAUAUCAGGAAGCUUUUCGUGCUGGGCUUCGACUUCCGCUUCCACCUUUUAUCGUUGCUCUUUUUCACUUUCUAAAUAUUUCUCUAGUUUCUG
Molecule: long non-coding RNA, 280 nt
Filed under: Elaeis guineensis (African oil palm)
Lineage: Eukaryota; Viridiplantae; Streptophyta; Magnoliopsida; Arecales; Arecaceae
Description: long non-coding RNA (EGUI_LNC057634)
Source: RNAcentral